AGCAGCCGCGGUAAUUCCAGCUCCAAUAGCGUAUAUUAAAGUUGUUGCAGUUAAAAAGCUCGUAGUUGAAUUUCGGGGUUAGUAGGUUGGUCAUGCCUCUGGUAUGUACUGGUCUCACUGAUUCCUCCUUUCUGAUGAACCUUAAUGCCAUUAAUUUGGUGUUUUGGGGAAUUUGGACUGUUACUUUGAAAAAAUUAGAGUGUUUAAAGCAAGCUAACGCUUGAAUACAUUAGCAUGGAAUAAUGAAAUAGGACGUUCGAUCCUAUUUUGUUGGUUUCUAGGAUUGACGUAAUGAUUAAUAGGGAUAGUUGGGGGCAUCAGUAUUCAAUUGUCAGAGGUGAAAUUCUUGGAUUUAUUGAAGACUAACUACUGCGAAAGCAUUUGCCAAGGAUGUUUUCAUUAAUCAAGAACGAAAGUUAGGGGAUCGAAGACGAUCAGAUACCGUCGUAGUCUUAACCAUAAACUAUGCCGACUAGGGAUCGGAUGAUGUUAAUUUUUUAAUGACUCAUUCGGCGCCUUACG
Molecule: ribosomal RNA, 522 nt
Filed under: uncultured Glomeromycotina
Lineage: Eukaryota; Fungi; Glomeromycota
Description: SSU rRNA
Rfam family: Eukaryotic small subunit ribosomal RNA
Source: RNAcentral